AACGUAGGUCCCGAGCGUUAUCCGGAUUUACUGGGCGUAAAGCGUGUUCAGGCGGUCUAGCAAGUCGGGCAUGAAAUCUCUCGGCUCAACCGGGAGGGGUUGUCCGAUACUGCUGGGCUUGAGGGCAGCAGAGGGUGGUGGAAUUCCGGAUGUAGUGGUGAAAUGCGUAGAUAUCCGGAGGAACACCAGUGGCGAAGGCGGCCACCUGGGCUGUACCUGACGCUCAAACACGAAAGCUAGGGGAGCGAACGGG
This 253-nucleotide ribosomal RNA is filed under the name uncultured bacterium. RNAcentral's name for it is "partial 16S ribosomal RNA". It matches the Rfam family "Bacterial small subunit ribosomal RNA", at positions 524 to 776 of the family's 1533-position model. The record is from RNAcentral.